UUUAGGCUAUGAAGAUAAUGGAGAAGCUAGAGAAAUAAAAGAGAGAAGAUGAAAAAUUGUUCGGAAAAAACAGCAAACUUAGAAACCUGUCCUCAAGACAAAGAUUUUUUUCUGUGUGAACCAAGACAGAAUUACCCUCUUCUGCUGAACGAUAUAUGUACUGCUACAGAUCACUGAACCAUUUCAAGUUACUGAGCUAGUGCUACCUGGUGAUUCAGAUAAUGGAUUGGCACUUGAGAUCUUCUGGAAAGGAUGAAGAGUCAACCUCUUCUCAAUCCCUCCAUGCCAUCCUUUUCCAUGGAUCUUCCAACUUGAAUAGAAACUCUGCACUAAAUUCCUGAGCUUUAAGGAAGGUAUUCUCAGCAUCUACAAGAUAGGAAACAUCUCUUCAUCAGAGAAGAGAGAAUACCAGAAGCUCAUAAGCCAUAUUAAAAACCACAGAAGCCAGAAAAAGCAAAAAUCCUUAACUGAGUGGCCUUUCAGCUUCUGCCUCCAACACUGAUUGAUGCCUUAAAGUUACCCUUUGGUCUUCUACUUCCAUCUCUUCUGCCAAGGUGCCGAGGACAGCAGCCCGAUAACUCUCAGGGUUUGGUUCCACAUGUGGCCUGAGAAAGUACCAGUACUGUGCCAUCUUAAAGCAAUGUGUUUGGUGAAUGCCCUUGAAUGGGUGCAUUCUCAAACUCUGCAUUGUGCUCAGCAUCACUUGCAUGGCACUGACCUUGCAGGUUUUCCACAGCAGCUUGCUGUCUUUGCUUGGGCCAUAACGAGCUACAUUUGUGUGAGGAGCUCUGAGACCUUUGUCAAAGAGCACUGCAUCAAAAAGCACAAAAUCUGCCUACACAUCACCAAAGAAACCUAAGAGGCUCUUGGGUUUCCUGAGGUUAAACCAGUUUACAUUAGUUCUGAGUGUUUUGCAGAUUGUCACUUAUUUGUCUCAAUAGGGUGCAGAUAGUGCUGGAUGGCCAUCUGUCCCCUGUUUCAGCUGCCAGCAAUCAGCCACUUGGCAGGGCUAAACAAAGAAUAUCUCCAUGAUAUUUAAAGACAUACUGGACAUUUUACUGGGAGAUUCCUGACAGCAGUUCUAUAUUUAGGAAGCAUUUUAGUUAAAAGAAGACUGAAAGUAGUAAGUGGAGUGCUUCGGAGUCAACCGAGUCUGAAGAAUAAGUUGAAAUAAACUUUGAGGCCAUUGAGGCUUUUCAAGGAUUUUAAAAGUUUAAUAAAUUCAUUUAAAAUGCAUUUUUGUUCUUGAAUUUUACAAAUCAAGCCAACGUAUAAUUAGAUUGUUAUUAAAUGAGUGUAUUCUCCUACCUCAUUUUCAAAAUAGAUUGAACUGAAGUGACAUAUAUCUUCAGGUAUCUUCUGACUCAGCAAAUCUUCUUUCCAGAAUGAAAUGGGGGUAAAUCUGAACUAGAUCAAACACUAUCCAAACAGUACAAUUGAUACUAAUUUCUGUUUCCAAACAUGCAAAUGAGAUAAACAACCAACCUUCUCCACACAAACUAAGAAAUUAUCUUCACAGUACUACAGAACACUGCUGAAAUUUCAAUGACUACUUGGCCAUCAUCACAUAAUCCCAAAGAGCAAUGUUUUCCUGUUGGAAUUUAAGAGAAAAAUAUUCCUCAUUGCCCCUCUGUGUUUCAAAUUCAAACAAAUUUGGAUAACCAUGCACUAAUGAAAGAUACAAAACUUUCUGGUAGCUGGCAAGAAACACAAAGCAAAUGCACAGGGGACUCACCAUCAAAUGAACAUUCACCAGCAGAGGAUUUAAGGUACCUCUGUAUUGGAUUUAGUCAUUUAAGUCACUCUGGUCUUGAACAACUUCAGCAACACUUCCCAUAGCUUAUCCAAAACAUUUCUUAAACAAA
Non-coding RNA from Cyanistes caeruleus (blue tit), 1865 nucleotides. The record is from RefSeq and is a predicted model, not a curated record. NCBI's taxonomy places the organism in Eukaryota, Metazoa, Chordata, Aves, Passeriformes, Paridae.